GGAGAGGGCUAGCGUUAUUCGGAAUUAUUGGGCGUAAAGGGCGCGUAGGCGGAUUAGUAAGUUAAAAGUGAAAUCCCAAGGCUCAAACUUGGAAUUGCUUUUAAAACUGCUAAUCUAGAGAUUGAAAGAGGAUAGAGGAAUUCCUAGUGUAGAGGUGAAAUUCGUAAAUAUUAGGAGGAACACCAGUGGCGAAGGCGUCUAUCUGGUUCAAAUCUGACGCUGAGGCGCGAAGGCGUGGGGAGCAAACAGGAUUAGAUACCCUGGUAGUCCACGCUGUAAACGAUGAAUGUUAAAUAUGGGGAGUUUACUUUCUGUAUUACAGCUAACGCGUUAAACAUUCCGCCUGGGGACUACGGUCGCAAGAUUAAAACUCAAAGGAAUUGACGGGGACCCGCACAAGCGGUGGAGCAUGUGGUUUAAUUCGAUGCAACGCGAAAAACCUUACCACUCCUUGACAUGGAAAUUAUACCUAUUCGAAGGGAUAGGGUCGGUUCGGCCGGGUUUCACACAGGUGU
This 515-nucleotide ribosomal RNA is filed under the name bacterium symbiont of Megymenum gracilicorne. RNAcentral's name for it is "bacterial SSU rRNA". It matches the Rfam family "Bacterial small subunit ribosomal RNA", at positions 527 to 1041 of the family's 1533-position model. The record is from RNAcentral.